Molecule: ribosomal RNA, 447 nt
Filed under: Leucocoprinus gongylophorus
Lineage: Eukaryota; Fungi; Basidiomycota; Agaricomycetes; Agaricales; Agaricaceae
Description: eukaryotic LSU rRNA
Rfam family: Eukaryotic large subunit ribosomal RNA
Source: RNAcentral
UUGACCUCAAAUCAGGUGGGACUACCCGCUGAACUUAAGCAUAUCAAUAAGCGGAGGAAAAGAAACUAACAAGGAUUCCCUUAGUAACUGCGAGUGAAGUGGGAAGAGCUCAAAUUUGAAAUCUGGCAGUCUCUGGCUGUCCGAGUUGUAAUCUAGAGAAGUGUUGCCCGCGCUGGACCGUGUACAAGUCUCCUGGGAUGGAGCGUCAUAGAGGGUGAGAAUCCCGUCUCUGACAUGGACUACCAGGGCUUUUGUGGUGCGCUCUCAAAGAGUCGAGUUGUUUGGGAAUGCAGCUCAAAAUGGGUGGUAAAUUCCAUCUAAAGCUAAAUAUUGGCGAGAGACCGAUAGUGAACAAGUACCGUGAGGGAAAGAUGAAAAGAACUUUGGAAAGAGAGUUAAACAGUACGUGAAAUUGCUGAAAGGGAAACGCUUGAAGUCAGUCGCGUU